RNAcentral lists this ribosomal RNA (505 nucleotides) under uncultured bacterium. Its description in RNAcentral is "partial 16S ribosomal RNA". It matches the Rfam family "Bacterial small subunit ribosomal RNA", at positions 28 to 507 of the family's 1533-position model. The record is from RNAcentral.
GACGAACGCUGGCGGCGUGCCUAAUACAUGCAAGUAGAACGCACAGUUUAUACCGUAGCUUGCUACACCAUAGACUGUGAGUUGCGAACGGGUGAGUAACGCGUAGGUAACCUGCCUGGUAGCGGGUGAUAACUAUUGGAAACGAUAGCUAAUACCGCAUAAUAUUAAUUAUUGCAUGAUAAUUAAUUGAAAGGUGCAAUUGCACCACUACCAGAUGGACCUGCGUUGUAUUAGCUAGUAGGUGAGGUAACGGCUCACCUAGGCGACGAUACAUAGCCGACCUGAGAGGGUGAGCGGCCAAACUGGGACUGAGACACGGCCCAGACUCCUACGGGAGGCAGCAGGAGGGAAUCUUCGGCAAUGGACGAAAGGCUGACCGAGCAACGCCGCGUGAGUGAAGAAGGUUUUCGGAUCGUAAAGCUCUGUUGUAAGAGAAGAACGGGUGGGAGAGUGGAAAGUUCACACUGUGACGGUAUCUUACCAGAAAGGGACGGCUAACUACGUG